GGAUGCGAUCAUACCAGCACUAAAGCACCGGAUCCCAUCAGAACUCCGAAGUUAAGCGUGCUUGGGCGAGAGUAGUACUAGGAUGGGUGACCUCCUGGGAAGUCCUUGUGUUGCAUUCC
Molecule: non-coding RNA, 119 nt
Organism: Triticum aestivum (bread wheat)
Lineage: Eukaryota; Viridiplantae; Streptophyta; Magnoliopsida; Poales; Poaceae
Source: Rfam